AAACCAGCACCUCAAGUGGUCAGGAUGAUUAUUGGGCCUAAAGCAUCCGUAGCCUGCUCUGUAAGUUUUCGGUUAAAUCUGUACGCUUAACGUACAGGCCGCCGGGAAUACUGCGGAGCUAGGGAGUGGGAGAGGUAGACGGUACUCGGGAGGAAGUGGUAAAAUGCUUUGAUCUCUCGAUGACCACCUGUGGCGAAGGCGGUCUACCAGAACACGUCCGACGGUGAGGGAUGAAAGCUGGCGGAGCAAACCGGAUUAGAGACCCCAGUAGUCC
RNAcentral lists this ribosomal RNA (274 nucleotides) under uncultured bacterium. Its description in RNAcentral is "partial 16S ribosomal RNA". It matches the Rfam family "Archaeal small subunit ribosomal RNA", at positions 473 to 747 of the family's 1478-position model. The record is from RNAcentral.